ACAUGUGUCUGACAUGAGCUCCUAAAAGCACGAGUUUGUUUGUAUUUGUGUUGCUGGUUCCUGUGCUAGCAGCCACCAUCUGCUUUCACCUGUGUGGGCUGUGCUGCACGUCCCAUAUCGGUCCCCAUUCAUCUCCAGAAUUCAUUUGCAAAAGGGAAAAAGGAAUCUGGAUGCUGAUGACAAUGCCGCACUUCAUUGCUGUUUGGCACAGGGGAGUUUACAUCUAUCGUUGCUUUAUUUUCUCCUUGCUCAUCUUUUGAAGCUGCCGUCCCUCAGCUCUAUUCCAUAUGCAGAAAUGUUUGUGGCUGAUUCAGUGCCUGCAGAGGUGUUUGCUUUUGUAAGCAGAUGUGUUCUCAGGAGAACGUGCGUGUGCUUUGUGUAGGCUGGGACAGCACACGCUGUACUGCAGCACCGUGCUGCAAUCACUGCCAGCUCCAUGUUGCCCUGUCCUUAUCUCAACCCUGAGCCCCUUCCCUUUCUCCCUCAGGAUGGGGAGCGAGAGGUGUGGAUGCCCAGCAGAGUGAAACCAGCUCAUCUGGGCAGCAUGCCUGGCUUUCGUGCAGAGGAAAACUGUUACUGCAAAACCUUCCUGCUUUCCUGUGCAGGACUCAGCACAAGGGCUACCACUAGGUCGAACAGUCACCUCUGUAUGAACACCAGAAGGCUUUACACCCAAGAAGUACCACUCGGAAUAGACUGUAAGUGAGAAUAACCUGGUGUCUAUACCUCUGAAUAGGGGGAAUUUCCCCAGGGGUUGAAAGAGUUCUGUCCGAGCCUUUCAUGGAGUUAUUAUUUCUUUGAUUUAAAGGGGGGAAAAAAGCGAUGAAAAUCUCUGCCGAGAACAGCUGGCUAAUUUUUACAUUUUCUUUAUAGCAAAUCCCAGCCAAAAUCUGGCUGCUGGCAAGCACAGACCCAACAUCUGCAGGAGGAGAGGCCUCCAGCCUCUCCAGCUCACUGGAAUUUUCCAGCUGCUGUGAAACAUUUCCCAAGUUCACUACAGCGUCUGUUGAGGUAGGGAUGGGGUGUUCAGGUGGGUGUUUUUUGCUCUGUCCUGGUGCCAGGCUGAGGAUGGUGAGGGUGGCUGGAAAAAUGCCCAGCCUUGUUCAGGGCUGGACUCCAUAGUCAUGCUCUGAGGGAUUGGCUUUUCCUUCUGGGACCAACUGGAGGAACUCCUAAUCUCAUGUUGGCCUUGUCCCUUUUUCUCCAUGAUUAGGACCUUAAACUGUGUCCAUCACAACUCAGUACACAUCCUGUUGGUCUUGUGAACACUGACACCGUGGUGUCUUCACUCGGCAAUCCCAGAACUUUGCACAGCUGCUCAGUGAAGAUGGUUGUCCCCAUGUGCUGAAGCAGGCUUCCCAAGCUUACCCAUACAGCAACACCAUCAGCCAUCCAGGGCUGACAUGUGCCCAUCCUCAUGGACCUACAGGGAAGGCUGGUCCUUCAACUCCGACAGCUUCCUGAUUUGAGUCCAACUGCUUCCAAAAGUCCUUUCCAAGGGUGGCUGAUGGCUUCAGCAUGAAACAAGACAAUGGGGCUCACUUGAAUGUCUGCAAAGCAGCAAUCAUAUAUUCACUGGUAUUUGCAGGACUGGCACUGAAGGAAAACGUGACAAGUGGCAGCAUCUGGAACGAUCUCAACUCUAUUUCUAAUCAAACUAAAAAUCCCCAAGUAGAGAUGUGAGCAGGCCCUGAAUUAGCUGCCUGGUACAGUGAUCCAGCAGCUCCCACCUCCAAGUCCCUAAACACCCUUCAAACUCUUCAAAAUUCACCCACAAAAAGAUGAGAGCCCGUUGCUGCCUGCUGACACUCCAGGCAUCCACGGGAAGGAGGCAAUGCAAGGGUUAAGUCCCUUGGCAGCAAUUCAGUUGCACGAUGCAAUAAAAUAUUUUAUGACAUUUUUACAAUAUUGUGCAAUGGGAUUUUGAGCCCUCAAAAGAAAACAUGAUGUGAAAGUAAGAUGCAUCAGCGUGGAGCAAACAGCACAGGUAUGAGAUGCUUUCCUUUCCUCCCAUCUCCUCCCUCUGCCCUCUGUGCAACCAGGAGUCCUCAUUCCUGCCCCACUCAGCACAGCAUCCUCAGUGCUUCCCAGCACAUCUGCACUAAUUUUAUGUGCAUGCUACAUACUUCCAUGGUGAGCACAUAGUACUUGUUGCUACAAACAGCCCCAAUAAAUGUGGGAGCCAAGUGUGCCUAAAUAUUACAACAUAUUAAACACCUUUU
This 2222-nucleotide long non-coding RNA is filed under the name Meleagris gallopavo (turkey). RNAcentral describes it as "lncRNA (ENSMGAG00000020673.1)". The record is from RNAcentral. Lineage: Eukaryota; Metazoa; Chordata; Aves; Galliformes; Phasianidae.